Molecule: long non-coding RNA, 444 nt
Filed under: Lonchura striata (white-rumped munia)
Lineage: Eukaryota; Metazoa; Chordata; Aves; Passeriformes; Estrildidae
Description: domestica (Bengalese finch) lncRNA (ENSLSDG00000001122.1)
Source: RNAcentral
GGUGAACAAGGUCUUCAGGGACCUCCAGGGCCACCAGGACAAAUUGGAGAACAGAAAAGACCAAAUGACAUUGAGUUUCAGAAAGGAGAUCAGGGUAUUCCAGGUGAUCCAGGCCCACCAGGACUUCCUGGGCCUCCAGGCCCUCCUGGUCUUCCCGGUGGUGUGAAAGGUGAAAAAGGUGAGCAAGGAGAACCAGGCAAAAGAGUAAGUAGUCUGUUUAACCAAACAUUUAUCUUUCCAUUCAGUGUUAUCUUUGACAAUUAAGCAAAUGUUGAAUUCAGGUGGGGCCAUCAGUUUAUGGGUAAGAGACUACUUUUUUUUCUCCUUGUAACCUGGCAACUCAUAGAUGAUGCACAGGGGUCAUGACAGUGUUUCUAGCUGUGGCUCUCUGUGUUUCUGAUAGAAUUAUCUACAUGUAGAUCUUAGUUUGAGGGGCAGGAGAAA